CGACCUAUUGACAGUUCCAUAAUUUGAUUGCUUUUAGAAUCAGCAUGUGUGAUCUCCUACAGAUCGUCGUCGGUACUAGAUAUGUUUUGUUCCAUCAUUAAGAAGCACAUAUCUAAGCAUUAAUUACGAGUACAGAUUAAGGAUUAGAUAGGCGAAACUACAUGAUAAUGGACCUCUAAAUUAGAUUGAUCAUGUUAUAGCGCUGCAACAUCACGGGCAAAUGCCAAUCCGAAAAAAAACUACAAGAAGCAAAACAACAACAAAACAGCUGCCGCCUCCGAAUAGCGGAACCAUGGGGUGGGUGGGCCCGUUAGCAUACACAUUUCUUUUUUUUUCUUUUUCUUUUUGAAAGUGUGCAUUUCUUAGUAAGAGGAAGCAGGUGAUUGCUUUUUCACCGUCUUACAGAUACAGGACAGAGCGAUUCAUUAUUCACCCUUGGGCCGUCCCCCUAUAAGAACCGAUUCCCAGAACCCCGUCUUGCUCCCGAACACAACCGGCUCUCGGUUUAUUCGAUAGAGGAAAGGAGAUGGAUGAGAGAGGAGUACUAGUUGCUUUUACCCUGUGCAAGUUCAGGAGGUCCUCGGCCGGGGGGGGGGGGGGGGAGCCUCAUCUGUAGAAUUUAGGGCGUGAACUUUAGAGGCUGGCUACGAUCAAGUUUGAUUGCAAGGGGUGGAGCGAAUGCAGCAUCUUAAUUUUACCUGCUUGAAACAGCGAAAUCUCGCAUUUAGACAUUUUGCACUAGUAACAUUUGUUUGUCCCUUGCAAUACUAAAAAGUACCGCAUCAAGGCAAAUCAAAUCCCCCCGCGUUACAUCUAGAAUCAUUGCGACGACAUACGAAGUACAUGAAAAUGCUUCAUUUCAUUAACAUAGAAAAAGUUUGGGUGUCAUUUUAGUACGUAAUAAAGAAGAACUUUGGUGACUAGCUAAUUAGAAGAAAGCCAGAUAAAUAAAAUUGUCACACCACGCCCGCAAUGCCGGCCGCCAUAGAACAUGACCACAUUCGAGACAUAACCAGUCGACGUGCAUGUGGCUACCAACAUAUAUACACUCAAUGUAGAGAUUUUACGGGCGGGGACCCUAACACCUACUCUUAGGACCUUUGUACACCUGCGCUACUUGGGAUACCACACUCACUAGAAGGGAAUCCAAAACUUUAUUUACUCUCAUAAUAUUGGUAUAACACUCCUUUAGUGGCUACCUCGUUACUACACAACCAUACUACUUCUUCUCGGUAGCUCACACUUUUAUUAGUGUGUUCCACUACUUGUUGUGGUGCUUGUGG
This 1283-nucleotide long non-coding RNA is filed under the name Brachypodium distachyon (stiff brome). RNAcentral describes it as "long non-coding RNA (BDIS_LNC006043)". Lineage: Eukaryota; Viridiplantae; Streptophyta; Magnoliopsida; Poales; Poaceae. The record is from RNAcentral.